RNAcentral lists this ribosomal RNA (253 nucleotides) under uncultured bacterium. RNAcentral's name for it is "partial 16S ribosomal RNA". It matches the Rfam family "Bacterial small subunit ribosomal RNA", at positions 524 to 776 of the family's 1533-position model. The record is from RNAcentral.
UACGUAGGGGGCUAGCGUUGUCCGGAAUCAUUGGGCGUAAAGCGCGUGUAGGCGGCCCGAUAAGUCCGCUGUGAAAGUCCAGGGCUCAACCCUGGGAUGCCGGUGGAUACUGUCGGGCUCGAGUCCGGAAGAGGCGAGUGGAAUUCCUGGUGUAGCGGUGAAAUGCGCAGAUAUCUGGAGGAACAUCGGUGGCGAAGGCGGCAUCCUGGACUGGUAUUGACGCUGAGGCGCGAAAGCCAGGGGAGCAAACGGG